GGUGGCUCAGUGGUAGAGCGCUUGCCUUGUAUGCAUGAGUUCAUGCAUGGGUUCAAUUCCUCAGCACCA
RNAcentral lists this transfer RNA (69 nucleotides) under Dipodomys ordii (Ord's kangaroo rat). It matches the Rfam family "tRNA". Rfam says of the family: Transfer RNA (tRNA) molecules are approximately 80 nucleotides in length. The record is from Rfam by way of RNAcentral. Lineage: Eukaryota; Metazoa; Chordata; Mammalia; Rodentia; Heteromyidae.